AAUGAGUCCAUAAAGCAAGUCUUCUAAAUUUGUUCUAGGUUAAAUCCUGCUCAUUU
RNAcentral lists this transfer RNA (56 nucleotides) under Caenorhabditis castelli. RNAcentral's name for it is "tRNA-Ser". Lineage: Eukaryota; Metazoa; Nematoda; Chromadorea; Rhabditida; Rhabditidae. The record is from RNAcentral.